Molecule: long non-coding RNA, 1488 nt
Organism: Bos indicus x Bos taurus (hybrid cattle)
Lineage: Eukaryota; Metazoa; Chordata; Mammalia; Artiodactyla; Bovidae
Source: Ensembl
CUUCUGUAGUACACACUGCCAGUAUAUUUUCCCGUUGGUCUGCUUUUAACGGUGGGACUCUGUACUUUUGCUUUUCACCUCUCACAGUUUCGCUUUUGGUUUCUUUCCUUGUUUCCUGGGGAAGGGCCGCCUCACCCUGAGAUCACCACCUGAGUUUCUUCCACUUCUUUUGUGGUUUUAUUUUUUCUAUCAACAUUUUUAUCCGUCAGGAAUUUGCGUGAGGUAGGUGUCUGUUUCCCCCAAAUGAUUAAUUAUCCGUCUCCAUUUCAUGACUAACCCAUCCUUUCUACACUAAUUAGAACUGCCACUUUUAUCGUUUAUUAGAAUCCUAUUUUGGACAUCUCUGUUAAUUUGUUAAUUCUUGUGCUAAACAAAACUAGCUUUAUUUGGGAUAGCUUUGUGAUAUAUUUUGAUAUCUGGGAACAUGUUUCUUGCUAACAUUCAUGGCCCUAUAGUGGUAUUAUUAAUGGCUAUGUAAAUGGAAAACUUAUCUAAUGAAAGUACCAGAAAAGCACACUAUUUGAAGCCUGUGGCGAUUGCUUUUGAAAUGUAAAUAGCAGCCCCAAACACUGUGUACAUUCAGAUUUUCUGGAUCUAGGCCACAGCAUGGGGAAGGGCUCCCUUUACUGAUGGAACAGGAAGUGAAGAACUGAGGACACCUCCUGCCACCCAGGGAAGGGAGUGUAAGAACUGGGCCUGCACACCCCAUGGCUCACCCUCGGGUGUGCAGGAGAGACAGACUGAGAGUCUGGUCUUGGUUUGGGUUCCCCUAGCACCCAACUCUGAGCAGGGUUUGAGUGCAAGCAGUUUCUUUGGAAGACUGUCCCCGGAAAGCAGGCUGCAACCUCAAAGAAAUGCCACAGGCUUUCAGAAACUUAAUGGCUGGCCUGUCAAGAGCGAUGACAGAAGCUAUUAUGGAAACAAGACAGGAAGAUUUUUGGAGGCAACAUCGACAGCACAGCCUCGCCAUUGGCUUCCCAGGACCAGGAGGAGGACAGCCUGGCCUCCUGCCAUCCCCAGGAAGGCCACGUGCUCAGCUCAAGAGGAGCUGAGUCAUUGCAGAUUCAAGCCACUGACUAUGGAUUGAUCACCUGUGAGGACAUUUUAAUUAACCGUCAGAUCCCUGAGCUGCCCCAUCGUUUCUGUCCUCAUCCCCUCCGUGGUCUCCAGCCACCUCCAACCCCAAUACAUGAAAAAGAAGUAGUCAGCCAACAGCACCGCAUAGCCAGAAGCACCGGAAGGUUUCAGCUGUGGGAGGGGCAGAGGGAAAGGUCCCGUGACUCCUGCAGGCUGGUCUGGUGGAUCUGGGAGCUCCCAGCGGGGUCUUGCACUGCUCAUGGCCUAUAUAACCCAGUUCUAUAGCAGAUUCACUCAGUGAGCUUGGACCAAUCACUUGGCUUCGAAGUGCCUCCAUUUCUCAUGUUUAAAAUGGAAACAAUAGCAGGAAAGGCAAAUAAAACUUGUGCAAAAAUGCUUUUAGAGCUUUGG